This is a long non-coding RNA of Mauremys reevesii (Reeves's turtle), 1011 nucleotides long. RefSeq lists it as uncharacterized. NCBI's taxonomy places the organism in Eukaryota, Metazoa, Chordata, Testudines, Geoemydidae. The transcript has 2 exons. The record is from RefSeq and is a predicted model, not a curated record.
CGCUCUGACAACACUGGUGACCCCGACCGCUGAUCUGGUUUCCACCUUUGGCUCCCAAACAUAACAGAGCAUCAUGAAAGUAUACCCUCAAAUACUCUCAAAGUAUUUGCAUGUAUCUGUAUUUAAAAUUUAUUUUGGUUUAAUUUUAUAGUUGGUUUAGUUUUAUAUGCUUUUCUUUUAUGUUAUGUUAUGUUAAUGGGAAGCAAUGGUUGUUAAGGUUUGUGCUCCUAAACAGUUAACAAGAAUGAAGUUGCUAUCACAAGCAAAUUAACUCUAAAAAGCUUGUUAAAAUUAUGUUACUAACUCUUUUGCUGAAACAAAGUGUUCAGCGAAGGAAAGUAAUACACCUUCUCAUGGAAGAUUGUGAGCAUUUAUUUUAGCUGUUAAGCGUUAUAUUUAAUAUGAAAUAUUAGUAAUGCACCUCAAAUGAAAAUGAAUGUCUAUACAACAAUUGCAAAAGUAUAGCUUGUGUUAUAAAAGACUUGGUCCCUAUUACAUUGUUCUUAUACAUUGUAAACAAACUAAGUUAAAACUGUAUUAAGUUUGGGUUACUAAAAACGAACAAACAAAGAAAAAAAAACUUUACUGUUAACUAACAAAAGUUGUUUAAGUUGCAUCCCACAGAUAAAAGAUGCCAAAAAAUAUCACACCCUGAAGACACCAGUUCAUAUCUGUAUACAGUGAAGAAACCCAAGCAUCAAGAAAAGAAAAAUGAAGUGUUUUAUAAAUAAGAGACUGGUCAAUUACACCUCUAUCUACAAUAUAUGGACAAUUAAUUUAACAAUCAGCUAAAAACCACUAGCUGGACCAGAAAAACUGUCAUUUAAUUUCAACUUGGUUAUUGUGUAAGAACAACUGUAUGAUUGCUGUACUACUGUAUUAUCACUGUACUGCUGUAUUAUUGCUGUACUGCUGUAUUAUCACUGUACUACUGUAUUAUUGCUGUACUGUAUAAUUGCUGUACAAUGUGCAUAACCUUGCUAAACUGUUUAACCAACACACAGGUACAAA